This is a long non-coding RNA of Dioscorea cayenensis subsp. rotundata (Guinea yam), 322 nucleotides long. RefSeq lists it as uncharacterized. NCBI's taxonomy places the organism in Eukaryota, Viridiplantae, Streptophyta, Magnoliopsida, Dioscoreales, Dioscoreaceae. The transcript has 3 exons. The record is from RefSeq and is a predicted model, not a curated record.
GGACUUAUUUCUUCUCCAAGAUUCAAGAUUAUUGUAGCGAGUCUUAGCUCGCGGGACUUGGUGAACCCAACUUGGUAGCUCGGAGCCAGGAGAAGAUCAAGUUUAGGUCUGGGGAGGGUGUCAGAGAGUCGUAUUGUCUGCGUUAUCAGUAUCUUGUUAUUACCUGCUUGAGAGUGUAAGACUUGUUUUCUGACUGUAUUUGUACUAUGCAAACUGUUGGAUUGUAUUUGUAUUCUGUAGGGCUGCUAAAGCCCGUACUUGUAGUAUGUCAGUUUUCAGUACCCUAUUUGUGCUUUUAUGUUCUAUUCAUAUUUGCUUGUUA